UCCCAUGCCCAACAUCUGAAAUUUUAGGGUUCAGUUGUUCAUCCAAUAAAAUGUUGCUUACAUUCAAAUCUCUAUGAAUAAUCUUUACUCUGAGUUUCUGUGAAGGUACAACUCCUCUGUCAAUUUCCUCAGUAACUUUCACAUGGUGACCCCAAUUACAUGAUUCUUUCCGUAGCUCAGUUGGUUGACUAGUUGAACUUUCACCCUAUUGGUGAGGGUUCAUUCCCACCUUGUAAGCACCUCUCCUAUUUCUCCUUCCCCUUCCCCUAUUUUUUUUUAAAGAACAAUAACUAAAAAAUAAAUCAUGUGAAUUUUCCUCUUUAGUGUGCGAACUUGAAAGUACAUAAAUAAAUAGAAAAGUCUGACAUCAAUGAUUUAAAAUCAAAUUUAUCAGUUAGAAAAUCAUCUAAUCUUCUUUUGGCAUGUCUUCAUAGACGAGCAGUUUCUUCCUUUCUUCAAAAUCAGCUGGAAUGCAAGCCUAGCUCCAAAUCCUGAUCCACAAUAACUAUUCCUCAGUCCUGAAUAAGUUAGUGUCGGCUAUAUGAAUCUCCAUUUCUUCAUUUAAGCCCAAAUCAUAUUAUCAUCAUACUAAAAUUUUGUGGAAACACCAAUAAUUUUCUCUACUACUUAACGACAUGGAGUAUGAACUCUUCCCUUCUUCUCGCUUUGAUAUGGAUUCUGUAAAAACUAGAGACAGUACUUGGGAAUUUUCUUCUCUGUAUAUUCCUUGCCAAUCACAUUUAUUAUACAAGCUAAUGGAAUGAAAGGAACCUUCUCGUCUAAGCUAAAAAAUCAAAAUAAAGGAAGAAGUUUCUCUUCUGAGCUAAGCAAUAAAACUCUUAUAAGCUAAACAAAAAUAAAAGAACCUUCUAUUCUAAGCUAAUCAAUGAAAGAAAACAAAGAAAACAUUCAUCUAUUGGGCCGUCUAUGUAUCCCAAAUAUUAGGCCAAAUAAAGCAUCGUGAUUUCUAAUAUCCCCCUCAAGUUGGAGGGGAAAGAAGUGACCCAACUUGCACAAACUUUGAUGGUGAGGAGGCUCGACAAGGGAUUUGGUGAAGAUGUCGGCGAGUUGGUCCUUAGAUGGAACAAAGGAAAGAAAUAUCAAGCCUGAAAGAUAUUGUUGACGAACGAAGUGGCAGUCAAGCUCAACGUGCUUUUUUUGCUCAUGGAGAAUUGGAUUUUGAGCUAUAUAUAGGGCUGCUUGACUGUCGGAGUGAACUGGAACGGGAAGAAAAGGAGGAACGGAUUGAUCGGAGAUUGAUGAACCUCCCAAGCUUAUAAAAAAUCCACUGACUGACUUUCGCAUAGUACGGCAAGAGGCCCAGUAAGCAUCGCAAUAAGCAGCGAGAGAGAAUGAGGGUGAAACAUUGAGAAAGAUGCCCUGAUUCGAAUAUGCUUUCAGAGAACAAGAUUGAAGGAUCUACUGGAGAAGAAGCUGGAGGAAGGUAUGAAAUAUCAAAUUCAUUGAUUAAAUCUAAGGUAUAUUUUUGUUGACUCAUUAUGAUUCCCUGUUCUUCCUACAAAAUUUCCAUUCCCCCAAAAUAAUGUAGUGAGCUGAGGUCCUUAAACUCAAAAUGAAGAAACUCCUUAAGGUUAUGUAUCUCAUCAGUAGCAUCCCCUGUAAUCAAAGUAUCAUCGACAUAGACAACUACGAUAGAGAUAAGCCCUCCUGAUUAUUUAAAGAAUAAGGAAUAAUCAUUGAGGGAGGUUGUAUAACCUUUGAAGUUUAGGGCUUCGAAAAGCCUGGCAUACUAUUGCCUUGAGGUUUUCUUUAAGCCAUAGAGUGACUUUUUAAGUCGACAAACCAUAUUAGGUUGAGGAGAUUCCAUUCCUGUAGGGAAUUUUAUAUA
Capsicum annuum is the source of this 1849-nucleotide long non-coding RNA. RefSeq lists it as uncharacterized. The record is from RefSeq and is a predicted model, not a curated record. Lineage: Eukaryota; Viridiplantae; Streptophyta; Magnoliopsida; Solanales; Solanaceae. The transcript is spliced from 3 exons.